AUGAAUAUGUUAUGUAUCAUGAUGAUCUGUCCACACUCCACAGAUACUUUUGAUGUAGAGCCACAACGAGUUACUGUGCAGGUGGAGCACCUUGAUGAGAAAAAUGUAAUUGUUGAUAAUGAUGAUGUUGCUCCAGAUGCACAGGUUGAUGAUAAUGUUGAUGAUGCUCCAUAUACAGAGGUUCAUGAUGAUGAUGUUGUGCAGCACUCACCCCUGUUUUGCAGCGAUAAGUUCAGUCUCUUGCAGUCGUCAGAACAAAGAGUCAUUAAGAAACCUAAACGCCUAAUUGAAGAGUGUGACAUUGUUCAUUAUGCUUUCAGUUGUGCAGAACAGGUUGAGAACAUCCAUGAGCUGUCCACAUACACUGAAGCAGUUGCUUCCGGUGACCGCGAGAACUGGAUUGCUGCUAUGCAGGAAGAGAUGUCCCGCUAUUUAGAACAUUGCGUUUGCCUAAACAAAAGAACACCAUUCGCUGCAAAUGGACCUUCAAAAGAAAGGAGGGUUUGCCUCCUAGUGAGCCCGCGAGGUUUAAGGCAAGGUUAG
Molecule: ribosomal RNA, 543 nt
Filed under: Triticum aestivum (bread wheat)
Lineage: Eukaryota; Viridiplantae; Streptophyta; Magnoliopsida; Poales; Poaceae
Description: partial small subunit ribosomal RNA
Source: RNAcentral